Phacochoerus africanus (Common warthog) is the source of this 735-nucleotide long non-coding RNA. RefSeq lists it as uncharacterized. The record is from RefSeq and is a predicted model, not a curated record. Lineage: Eukaryota; Metazoa; Chordata; Mammalia; Artiodactyla; Suidae. The transcript has 3 exons.
GGCUCAGGCAGGACUCACAGCAGUUUACGAUGUGGCAAGACAGAGGUAAGGUCAGCUAAGAACAACAGAACGUAGAAAAUUCUUGUGGCUUAUGGCCACUUCUUCCCCCGGAAGGUUGAAAAAGUGAUAAAGGAGAACCAUUAUUCUGUCCUGAAUUUUGAUCCGUUGGGAAAAACGAGUUAAGAUGAAAAGAGCAAGGAGGCGGAAAGGAGCAGCUUAAACUUUGGAGAAAAUGGGGAGGAAGAGCAGCAGCUCAGUCAGACACGGACUUCAGCAUUAGUGGAGUGGAUUCCUAGAGAUCAGAGAAAACACAGAAGUAGGAAGACUGGAGCUCACUGGCCUGAGAACCUAAGAUCCACCCAAGAGACGAGUUCAUCUGAGCACCUGGCAGAUCUAAAUGAGAUGGGCAGGUUUACUAGACCAAGAGUCAAUCAGGAAUUUGAAGACACUGUGAAUCUGGGUGUCAUGAUGCAGCUGACAGUGUUUGUUAGGAUAUCCUUAUGGAGAAAUACAGGAUGUGGUCUAGCAGCAAAGAGAUUCAUCUGGCAUCCUAAUUAGCCAGACAAUCCGACGCAAAGGAUGCUGGGGAAUGGUCCAUAUAAACCACCUGGCUGGGGACCUGGAGGAUAGAGUUCAAGGAAACAUCAUCCAUAUCAUCCUGCUCCACAAGGACUUGGUCAGGGUAUAGCCUUAUCUGAUAUUUUUGAUAUUUUCUUUUUUAAAGGAGAACGUGGG